CCCUUAGACGUUCUGGGCCGCACGCGCGCUACACUGACACAGGCAACGAGCUUUCCUUUACCGAAAGGUAUGGGUAAUCUUUUGAAACUGUGUCGUGCUGGGGAUAGAUCCUUGCAAUUUUUGAUCUUAACCGAGGAAUUCCUAGUAAGCGCGAGUCAUCAACUCGCGUUGAUUACGUCCCUGCCCUUUGUACACACCGCCCGUCGCUACUACCGAUUGAAUGGCUUAGUGAGGCCUCAGGAUCCGCGCUUAAUGUGUGGAGAAUUUGGACAAACUACGUCAUUUAGAGGAAGUAAAAGUCGUAACA
Molecule: ribosomal RNA, 307 nt
Filed under: uncultured eukaryote
Lineage: Eukaryota
Description: partial 18S ribosomal RNA
Rfam family: Eukaryotic small subunit ribosomal RNA
Source: RNAcentral